GACGAACGCUGGCGGCGUGCUUAACACAUGCAAGUCGAACGGAAAGGCCCUGCUUUUGUGGGGUGCUCGAGUGGCGAACGGGUGAGUAACACGUGAGUAACCUGCCCUUGACUUUGGGAUAACUUCAGGAAACUGGGGCUAAUACCGGAUAGGAUCUCCUGCUGCAUGGUGGGGGUUGGAAAGUUUCGGCGGUUGGGGAUGGACUCGCGGCUUAUCAGCUUGUUGGUGGGGUAGUGGCUUACCAAGGCUUUGACGGGUAGCCGGCCUGAGAGGGUGACCGGCCACAUUGGGACUGAGAUACGGCCCAGACUCCUACGGGAGGCAGCAGUGGGGAAUAUUGCACAAUGGGCGGAAGCCUGAUGCAGCAACGCCGCGUGCGGGAUGACGGUCUUCGGGUUGUAAACCGCUUUCGCCUGUGACGAAGCGUGAGUGACGGUAAUGGGUAAAGAAGCACCGGCUAACUACGUG
This 468-nucleotide ribosomal RNA is filed under the name uncultured bacterium. Its description in RNAcentral is "partial 16S ribosomal RNA". It matches the Rfam family "Bacterial small subunit ribosomal RNA", at positions 28 to 507 of the family's 1533-position model. The record is from RNAcentral.